AUUGAACGCUGGCGGCGUGCCUAACACAUGCAAGUCGAGCGGUAACGGGUGUAGCAAUACAUGCUGACGAGCGGCGGACGGGUGAGUAACGCUUGGGAAUCUGCCUAUUAGUGGGGGACAACCCGGGGAAACUCGGGCUAAUACCGCAUACGCUCUACGGAGGAAAGCCGGGGACCGCAAGGCCUGGCGCUAAUAGAUGAGCCCAAGUCGGAUUAGCUAGUUGGUAGGGUAAUGGCCACCAAGGCGACGAUCCGUAACUGGUCUGAGAGGACGACCAGUCACACCGGAACUGAGACACGGUCCGGACUCCUACGGGAGGCAGCAGUGGGGAAUAUUGGACAAUGGGGGCAACCCUGAUCCAGCGACGCCGCGUGGGUGAAGAAGGCCUGCGGGUUGUAAAGCCCUUUCGGUGGGGAAGAAAAGUCUCGACCUAAUACGUCGGGACCUUGACGUAACCCACUAAAGAAGCACCGGCUAACUCUGUGCCAGCAGCCGCCGUAAC
RNAcentral lists this ribosomal RNA (502 nucleotides) under uncultured bacterium. RNAcentral describes it as "bacterial SSU rRNA". It matches the Rfam family "Bacterial small subunit ribosomal RNA", at positions 29 to 524 of the family's 1533-position model. The record is from RNAcentral.